AAAAAAACUUUAAAAAAACACAUUUCUCUCUCAAACUCAUCCCCAAAUCCGGCCAUGGGACACCACCGUGGCCCCACCGCGUCCUCGCCGUAGCUCCGCCGCAAGCGGCGGCCAGAGGUGCAAAACCGGGCCUUUCUUAACCCCGUUUAAGGCUCGUUCCCCCUGGAACACGGAUUCAAGGCCGAAUCCCCUGAAAGGUGGCCACACACUCCAGAAACGGAGGGAAACCGUUCGGUUUCUCCUCUUCCGGCGCGACACAGGUAAGCUUUUGGGAUUUUUGUUUUAUUACUUCAGUUUUAAAAAAAAUAGAAAUAAAAUAAAACAAUAAGAGAAAUAAAAAAAGAUUGAAAAACCGAAAUCACCUUAGUUCUUUUGUUUUUCUAUUUCUUAGUGUUCGUAAAAAAAUGUACAAAGAUGAGAUCUAGGCUUUUAUAGCAUAUUACAACUGUUGAUUUCUUCUUUUCUGUUUUUUUUUUUACUCCUUAACUUCCUAGAUUCUUCUAUUGCUUUUGCAUUCAUUUCUCUCUGCAGGUGUCUGACACGCGUGGAGGGCCAACGAUUGGCGAUCAAUGGCGGUGGGCAUGCGAGGAGGCGUGCGGCGCUGGGGCUGGGCAGAGGUAGGAGCGGUGGCCUAGGGUUUCUUCUUUUUUCUUUGCUGAAAAAUGUUUAUGGGCUAGGGUUGUAUUGGGCUGGCAUAAUUGGGUUUAUUAUUUUUUUAUGUAAAAUGGACUAUGGGUAUUUUUUAUUUAUUAUUGGGCCCGGGCAAAAUCUGGGCUUUACAUACCUAAAUUCAUCUCUAUCAAACUAUCGCGUCAAAAACUUCAUCAGAGUAAUUGUCUUCUUGGAGC
RNAcentral lists this long non-coding RNA (848 nucleotides) under Gossypium barbadense (sea-island cotton). Its description in RNAcentral is "long non-coding RNA (GBAR_LNC018323)". The record is from RNAcentral. Lineage: Eukaryota; Viridiplantae; Streptophyta; Magnoliopsida; Malvales; Malvaceae.